CCUACGGGGGGCAGCAGUAGGGAAUAUUGCACAAUGGGGGAAACCCUGAUGCAGCAACGCCGCGUGGGUGAUGAAGGUUUUCGUAUUGUAAACCCCUAUUGUUAGAGAAGAUAAUGACGGUAUCUAACUAAUAAGCACCGGCUAACUACGUGCCAGCAGCCGCGGUAAUACGUAGGGUGCAAGCGUUACCCGGAUUUACUGGGUGUAAAGGGCGCGUAGGCGGGAGUGCAAGUCUGAUGUGAAAGCCUUCGGCUUAACCGUAGUACUGCAUUUGAAACUGUUCGGCUGGAGUGCAGGAGAGGGAAGUGGAAUGCCUAGUGUAGCGGUGAAAUGCGUAGAUAUAAGGAGGAACACCAGUGGCGAAGGCGGCUGUCUGGUCUGCAACUGACGCUGAGGCUCGAAAGCGUGGGUAGCGAACAGGAUUAGAUACCCCUGUAGUC
This 440-nucleotide ribosomal RNA is filed under the name uncultured bacterium. RNAcentral describes it as "partial 16S ribosomal RNA". It matches the Rfam family "Bacterial small subunit ribosomal RNA", at positions 338 to 795 of the family's 1533-position model. The record is from RNAcentral.